RNAcentral lists this ribosomal RNA (254 nucleotides) under uncultured bacterium. Its description in RNAcentral is "partial 16S ribosomal RNA". It matches the Rfam family "Bacterial small subunit ribosomal RNA", at positions 524 to 776 of the family's 1533-position model. The record is from RNAcentral.
UACGGGGGGGGCAAGCGUUGUUCGGAAUUACUGGGCGUAAAGGGCUCGUAGGCGGCCAACUAAGUCAGACGUGAAAUCCCUCGGCUUAACCGGGGAACUGCGUCUGAUACUGGAUGGCUUGAGUUUGGGAGAGGGAUGCGGAAUUCCAGGUGUAGCGGUGAAAUGCGUAGAUAUCUGGAGGAACACUGGUGGCGAAGGCGGCAUCCUGGACCAACACUGACGCUGAGUGAGCGAAAGCCAGGGGAGCAAACGGG